UUUAUAUUUAUUUCUUGUGUUCAGUCAUCCAAAUAAAAGUCCUGAUCCGGUAUUGAAGAAGUUCAUUUUUGCACGAGGUACUAACCAACAUUUUCUCACUUUGGUAUUUUUAUAGAAAUUACAGACAUUAUUCAGAUAAAAAUAUUUUUCUUCUAUUUUUAAAGUGUUUGUAUUUUGCAUUUGGGUUCUCAGUUUAUUCAUUUAUUUAUUGAAUUCAUGUAGAUUGCUUUAGGUGAGUAUUAAAUUGUACCAUUUGGUUGUCAAAAUAAGAGGUGCUUCUUCAUAUGUAAUGCAAUUUCGUUAUUUUAAAGUCAAUAAUUACCAGUUACAUUGUUUAAAUUAAUUAAUCUUGUUCCAUUUCUUAUUUGGAUUCUUGAUUCUGUCAUAUAUUUAUUCCAUUGUUCUUGAAUUAUUUGCAGCAAGGUUAUAGAAGAAGAAAGAGUGAUAUUUUGGUAUUCAAUUUCUGCCCUUAUUUUUACCAAUUUUGCUCCUAUUUUUACCAGCAUGUUACCUCCAUUAAUCACAUUGAAUGCUGGGACUGGCAUAACAAGCUCUUUGGUGUUUGAUAUUUCCUGAAUGUACAUGUGUUUGUAGAGGGAUAUCCCCUUUGCUCCAGCUCAAGCUCAACACCCACUAAGAGAAACUCCUAGAAUUGCAUUAGCCCCCAAUUUCGAUUUGUUUGGAGUUCCUUCAAUCUCCAGCAUAAUCGCAUCAACCUCAGCUUGAUUCCUUUGUAUGGAAGAAAGGCAAAGUGGUCAGUAUCAGCAGUAUUUUGUUUCUUGUUUGAUUUGUAUGGAUAUGAUUACAGAUAUAAAUAGUGAAAUUGAAGCUAUUAAUGAAACUCCUUCAACAUCUGUUCCCCCAAUUCCACUAUUAUAUUUAGGGAGGAGAAAAAAUAAAAAAUCUUUGGAUGUGUGGGAACACUUCACAGUUAUAGGGAAUCCAAACGCUGAAGAUGUUAGGUGUGCACAAAACUAUUGUGGGCAGGAUUAUGCUUGUGGGGCUAGGAAGUAUGGGACUAUUACCUUGAGGAAUCAUUUGGUUUUUUAUUGUAAGAAGUAUCUCGGAAGAUUGGAAGAUAAAUGACAAAAAGCCCAAUUGAGGGUUGUGUGAAAAUUUAGUUGGCUUUAAUAAGGAAGAGUGUAGGCUUGCAUGUGCUAAGAUGAUAAUAUUGGAUGAAUUACCUUUUAGCUUUGUUGAAGGUGAGGGGUUUAGACAAUUUUGUAAGGUAGCAAGUCCUAAAUUUGAUUGUCCAUCUCGUAGAACUGUUGUUGGAGAUCAGUUGUAUAUGGAUAAAAAAUUGCAAUUGAAAAAGAUCAUCCAACGUCAAAGAGUUUCUCUCACUAUUGAUACUUGAAGUUCCAUUCAAAAUAUUAAUUAUACGUCUCUCACAGCACAUUAUGUUGAUUCUGAUUGGAAGUUUCAUAUUUGGAUUUUGGGUUUUUGUGUGAUUGCUAUUCAUUAGGGUGAAACCAUUGUUAAAGCUAUUGAGGCUUGUUUGCGUGUAUGGGGGUAUUGAGACAUUGUUUACAAUUACUGUUGACAAUACAACUACAAAUGAAACGGCUAUUUCUUAUAUCGGGAGGAAGAUGAUUGGUUGAAGUGGUGAUGGGUGUGUUUUAAAUGGAAAACAUCUGCACAUGAGGUUUUGUACGCAUAUUGUUAAUUUGAUUGUGUGUGAGGGAUUAAAGGAAGCACAUGAUUCAAUUGUUAGUAUUCAUAGUGCUGUAAAAUAUGUCAAAUCACUUGUGAAGAAAAAAUUGAUUGUAAGUCACUUGUGUUUUUGGAUGUACUAAUGAGGUGGAAUUCCACAUAUUUGAUGUUGGAAGCUGCUUUAAAAUUUCAAAAAGCUUUUGAAAGGUUAAAGGAUGAUGAUGUGCAAUAUGUAAAUUAUUUUCAGGAGUAUGAUGGUUGUAGAAGAAGAAGUGGGCCUCCUACAACUUUUGAUUGGAAAAAUGCUUCUAUUUUUGUGAAGUUCCUUAAAGGCUUUUAUGAAGUAACUUUGAAGUUGAGUACUUCAAUGCAUGUUAGCUCUAAUGUUUAUCUUCAUGAAGUAUAUGUUGGAUUUUAUGCACAAUAUUAAAGAGAUGAAAAAAGAAAAUCAACACAAAUAUUUUACGUGGUUCGGCGGUGUGCCUACGUCCACGAGAGCGAAGCGAAGAUUUCUUUAUUCAGUUGUGAAAAAUAGGGUUACAACAUAUUAUUUAUACUAACUUUAGCUUGGCCUAUAUAAAAUUUUAAGGCCCGUACAGGAAAUACCCUGCACCGUACCGUGGGGGUGUUGCCCCCCACACCCCAACCCAUUUAGUGUCCCUAAAAACCAAACAAUGAAUUAAAACCGCGCAAGGCCGAUGUCAUCACUCCGCUCCGCUCCGCCAUCGCCCCAUUUGAUCCAGGACCUGUGUUCUACUCUAUAUAAACCACAUGCACAACGAGUAUGUUAGCUUGUAAUUGAAUUGAAACAAUUAAGUUCAAGUGGUGAUUUUCUUUUGGGUGAAAUGGCUAUCAACAUGAAGAAAAAGUUUGACAACUAUGGGGGAAAAUGGAAAAUAUUAAUCAGUUGUUGUUGAUUGCUAUUGUGCUUGAUCCACGAUACAAAUUGGCAUAUGCUGAUUUAUGUUUUGGUGAUAUUUAUGUUGAUAAGGAAGUUGCUUGUAAUAUGACAAAGAUUUUGAAAGACAAUUUGAUGUCUAUUUAUGAUUGGUAUGUGAGAUGUGAAACAAGAUCUGAAAGCAAUCAAAUAUCAAGUGACUUGAAUUCUUCAAGUGAGGUUUAUCCUGCAAAAGAAAGUCCCACUUCAAGCGUGCUUCUUUCUCGUGUUUCUAGGUUUAAGAAAACACAAGCAGCAAAAGAUUUAGUUGAUUUGAAAAAUGAUGUGGAUAGAUACUUGUUAGAUGUUUGUGAAUAUAUUGAGGACGAUGCUGUUGAUGUUUUAAAUUCAUGGAAAGUUAAUUGAAACAAAUAUGGUACAUUGUCAAAACUUGUAAGAGAUGUAAUGGCUAUUCAAGUGUCUACGGUGGCUUCAGAAAGUGCUUUCAAUAUCCGAGGAAGAAUUCUUGAUCCAUUUCGUAGUUCUUUAAUUCCUACGAUGGUGGAAGUUUUGGUGUGUACACAAAAUUGGAUUAAAUAGUCUACAAGUAUGGAGAAAUUCUAUAUGGAAGAAGUCGAGGGAUAUAAUAAGUUGGAUAAAGGUAAUGUAGGUAUUUCAUAAAUUAUGUUAAAUAUGUAUUUUAUCAAAUUUAUUCCUAAUGUAAACAUUAUUUUUUGUAGAACUUUUGGAAUAAGAGAAAUCAAAUGAAGGCUAAAUCAACGUGAUUAGUUCAUUUCUAAUUUUUUGAGGUAAUUUUUGUAUUCUAAUGUGCAC
Molecule: long non-coding RNA, 3364 nt
Filed under: Olea europaea subsp. europaea
Lineage: Eukaryota; Viridiplantae; Streptophyta; Magnoliopsida; Lamiales; Oleaceae
Source: RNAcentral